UACGUAGGGGGCAAGCGUUGUCCGGAUUUAUUGGGCGUAAAGAGCUUGUAGGCGGUUUGUCGCGUCUGCUGUGAAAUUUCGGGGCUCAACCCCGAACUUGCAGUGGGUACGGGCAGACUAGAGUGUGGUAGGGGAGACUGGAAUUCCUGGUGUAGCGGUGAAAUGCGCAGAUAUCAGGAGGAACACCGAUGGCGAAGGCAGGUCUCUGGGCCAUAACUGACGCUGAGAAGCGAAAGCAUGGGGAGCGAACAGG
Molecule: ribosomal RNA, 253 nt
Filed under: uncultured bacterium
Lineage: Bacteria
Description: partial 16S ribosomal RNA
Rfam family: Bacterial small subunit ribosomal RNA
Source: RNAcentral